Molecule: transfer RNA, 62 nt
Filed under: Thyropygus sp. DVL-2001
Lineage: Eukaryota; Metazoa; Arthropoda; Diplopoda; Spirostreptida; Harpagophoridae
Also listed under: 1 other name
Description: tRNA-Trp
Source: RNAcentral
AAAGCUUUAAGUUAUUAAAACUAUUAACCUUCAAAGUUAAAAAUAAAGUUAUUUAAGCUUUA